RNAcentral lists this ribosomal RNA (433 nucleotides) under uncultured bacterium. Its description in RNAcentral is "partial 16S ribosomal RNA". It matches the Rfam family "Bacterial small subunit ribosomal RNA", at positions 29 to 507 of the family's 1533-position model. The record is from RNAcentral.
AACGAACGCUGGCGGCAUGCCUAACACAUGCAAGUCGAACGAGACCUUCGGGUCUAGUGGCGCACGGGUGCGUAACGCGUGGGAACCUGCCCUUAGGUUCGGAAUAACUCCCCGAAAGGGGUGCUAAUACCGGAUAAUGUCUUCGGACCAAAGAUUUAUCGCCUUUGGAUGGGCCCGCGUUGGAUUAGCUAGUUGGUAGGGUAAAAGCCUACCAAGGCGACGAUCCAUAGCUGGUCUGAGAGGAUGAUCAGCCACACUGGGACUGAGACACGGCCCAGACUCCUACGGGAGGCAGCAGUGGGGAAUAUUGGACAAUGGGCGAAAGCCUGAUCCAGCAAUGCCGCGUGAGUGAUGAAGGCCUUAGGGUUGUAAUGCUCUUUGACCCGAGAUGAUAAUGACAGUACCGGGUGAAUAAGCUCCGGCUAACUCCGUG